GGAUUGUUUAUUAUUGCUUAUUAUUGUAGCUUAUUUUUAUUGCACACAUAAAUAUCAAGCUCAUAUCUACAGAAUUUACCAAGAACAGUACAAUUGUCAUAUAGUGACGAUUUACUCCACAUAAUAGUCACAAAUCUUUGAAAUACAAUUUGUUCACUAACAAAACCCGUUAUCGAAAAUUUUCCCACAAUAGCAAAGCAGUACGAAAAUAAUAUAGAAAAUAUAAAAGCUUCCCGAAUUUACUGGCUGGCAAUAAAAACCAGCAGGCAGUUGGAAUUUUCGAACGCAAAUUUUAUGUAUAUUUUUAGAGGUAACCAGCAGCACCGUUCCUGCGAUUCCGUGGCAGCGCUGCAAUUACAGUGCAUCUACUGUAAGUGGGGCCACUUAGAGAACACUAACCAUGCAAUCGCAUUGCAGAACAGAAAGAAAAAUCUAAUCAAACUAAAUCUCGUCCAAUCAGAAGAAAGAUUCAGGAAGCCAUUAACUGCAGUGUAUACUUUUACAAGUCUAUUUUUACCGUUUGACAUUCGUUUAUUUGUUCAAAUUGUUUUUGGCCUAAUGCUGAUUGGCUAAUGCGCCGUUUGUUGAUUUUUUCAAUUUCUGUUCUUCAAUGUGAUUGGUUAGUGUUCUGUAAGUGGCCCCACUUACUGUAGACGCACUGUAACAGAGCUACAGAUUCCAGUAGCUGAGCAUUAACCACAAAUUCAUGUAUAUAUAAUGGAGUCAUUGGAGUGACGCCAGUAGAAGGUUAAUAUAUAAACUUUGCGUUCGAAAUUUCCGCAUGGAAAAUCUUAUCUGGUUAGGGUAAAACGCGGAUGCGGACGAACAGGCAGCGAACGGACGUAUGAGAGGGUAAAAUGAGGACUGACGGACGAGAGGGUAAUAUGAGGGUAUAUCCACAUAAAUAAACAUACUUGUAAGUAUGUGCAAAGAUACCAGGGGAAAGAUACCAGUUUGAUACUUUCAUGAAGAGAUUGAAUUUAAAUCAUGGUGAGAGACGUCUAUAGGUCAAACAUUUACUUCUGACAUUAGCUCCGGGGGGUGCGCUCCGGGCAUCGUAUUUCCACACAAUUUCUCGUUUUCCCAAUUUCCACGAGUGUUGAAAUCAAACGCAUUAAUAAUUCAUGAGGAAAACACAAAGAAAAAUCAUAAGCGUGUCGUAUCUUUAUAUGUGAUAGAGAUUUCCCUUGAUUUAUAUAAACUUUAACUUUGAUUUUCUCGACUUACACAACGAAUUUUUUGAAAAUUACUUCGUCAAUAGAUCGAUCGUUUUUGAAGCAAUUCAAAACAUUCGCAGUGCGUGUUUUAUCGGACCUAAAGAUACUCGGCAUCGCCUCGUAUCCUUAUAUCUGAUAAAACACUUCUGCUCAUGCUUUAAAUAGUAAUUAAAAUAUCAUUAGUAAUUCAUAAACCUUGUGAAGCCGUCCUUGUGGCAAAUCAUGUCAGCCAUAAUAUAUCACGUGGAGUGAAUUUAUAUCUGAUAAAACACAUGUUGCAUUAUAUAAUUGUUCAUCCUAACAAGACAGCAUCUCUUGUAGUCGUAUUUUUAAGCUAUUCAAAACAUUCGUUGUCGUAUUUUAUCAGAUAGCCUACUGAUGUUUUAAAUAGUACGUAUAUCAACACGGAAAAUGUUUUAUAUUUGUUAACUAUAAAAUACUUAUAUAAUGUAAAAUACUUAUUUAUAAUUUUUUAUAUAUACAAAUAUACAUAUUUCUUUGUACCUUCAAGGCACAACAUCUCUUUGUCUUUGAGGGAACUCCGAACUUUUAGGAAGCAUAUUAUAUUGCACAGUAUACGAAUAUGUUUUCUACAACAAUUGUACCAAUUUAGUAUAAAGUAUUUCGCAUAAAAUCCAGAGUAUUGUCAUGAUUUUCAAAGUAAAUAUUGUGCUUCCAAAACUAUACUGCAGGCUCCAUAGCCUACCUCCGUCACACUUCGUGUAACACAUAGUCGCCAUAUCGUGCGAUUUUUUCUAGAGUUUCAGCAGAAUACGCAAUUGCAACUGUGGAAAACAAUAAAACAUGUGGAAUUAUAUGAUAAAACUGAAUAACAUCUUGUUAUUUUUCAAGUUCAAAUUUAUAAACCCAGGCAAAUUUACAAAAACAGGCAAUGAAGAAACUGUAGGACGACAAGGAGAUGAUGAAAAUGAAGGCUGCCAGGAUGAAACAGAGAAUCAAAUAGACGAAGCUUCUGAAUCUGACGAGGACAUCCGAGCAGGUGGACUGAAAUGCAGACAACCCACAAAAAAUCGCAUUGUGAACACUAUUGAUAAAGCUCUAGGUAUAAAGAGCUACAAUCCCAAUUCCAGAAGACCUGGGGCCGGUUGUAUAAAAAAGUGAUUAAAGUUAACUAUAGUUAGUGGAAACGUCAUCCAAUAAGAAGCGCAUAUUUGAGAGUUAAUCACUAUUUAACUACAAAAUAGUGACUAAAAAAGUGAUUAAGAGUUUUAUACAAGAGGUCCCUGAAGCGUAUCGAAAGCGUUUAGUGAAAGUGGACAAACAGCGGAAGACGACGUUGUCCGUGUUUUCCAAAAUAAACCAACAACAACAACAAACGUUGGUCGUAACAAUCGUGCCAAUGUCAUAACUGGAAGACAAGACCCUCAACCAAAGGCAAGAGUUACAUUUAUUUCCUAGGACUUUUUAGACCAACAGUCCUACUCAGGAUUGUAUACAUGAUUUAAAUCAGUGGUGUCACUGUGUUUCUUGAAUAUUCUUUCAAUUUUUUAAAAACAAACCUUACAACAUAUGCAGGUAGAUG
This 2760-nucleotide long non-coding RNA is filed under the name Paramuricea clavata. Lineage: Eukaryota; Metazoa; Cnidaria; Anthozoa; Malacalcyonacea; Plexauridae. The record is from RNAcentral.